RNAcentral lists this ribosomal RNA (468 nucleotides) under uncultured bacterium. Its description in RNAcentral is "partial 16S ribosomal RNA". It matches the Rfam family "Bacterial small subunit ribosomal RNA", at positions 28 to 507 of the family's 1533-position model. The record is from RNAcentral.
GACGAACGCUGGCGGCGUGCUUAACACAUGCAAGUCGAACGGAAAGGCCCUGCUUUUGUGGGGUGCUCGAGUGGCGAACGGGUGAGUAACACGUGAGUAACCUGCCCUUGACUUUGGGAUAACUUCAGGACACUGGGGCUAAUACCGGAUAGGAGCUACUGCUGCUUGGUGGGGGUUGGAAAGUUUCGGCGGUUGGGGAUGGACUCGCGGCUUAUCAGCUUGUUGGUGGGGUAGUGGCUUACCAAGGCUUUGACGGGUAGCCGGCCUGAGAGGGUGACCGGCCACAUUGGGACUGAGAUACGGCCCAGACUCCUACGGGAGGCAGCAGUGGGGAAUAGUGCACUAUGGGCGGAAGCCUGAUGCAGCAACGCCGCGUGCGGGAUGACGGCCAUCGGGUUGUAAACCGCUUUCGCCUGUGACGAAGCGUGAGUGACGGUAAUGGGUAAAGAAGCACCGGCUAACUACGUG